RNAcentral lists this ribosomal RNA (256 nucleotides) under uncultured bacterium. RNAcentral's name for it is "partial 16S ribosomal RNA". It matches the Rfam family "Bacterial small subunit ribosomal RNA", at positions 524 to 777 of the family's 1533-position model. The record is from RNAcentral.
UACGUAGGGUGCAAGCGUUGUCCGGAAUUAUUGGGCGUAAAGAGCUCGUAGGCGGUCUGUCGCGUCGGCUGUGAAAACCCGGGGCUCAACCCCGGGCCUGCAGUCGAUACGGGCAGACUAGAGUGCGGUAGGGGAGACUGGAAUUCCUGGUGUAGCGGUGAAAUGCGCAGAUAUCGGGAAGAACACCCGUGGCGGAGGCGGCUCUCUGGGCCGAUACGUGACGCUGAGGAGCGGAAAGCGUGGGGAGCGAACAGGA